UGGGGGAUAUUGCACAAUGGGGGGAACCCUGAUGCAGCGACGCCGCGUGAGUGAAGAAGUAAUUCGUUAUGUAAAGCUCUAUCAGCAGGGAAGAAGAAAUGACGGUACCUGAGUAAGAAGCCCCGGCUAACUACGUGCCAGCAGCCGCGGUAAUACGUAGGGGGCAAGCGUUAUCCGGAUUUACUGGGUGUAAAGGGAGCGUAGACGGCGAUGCAAGCCAGAUGUGAAAGCCCGCGGCUCAACUGCGGGACUGCAUUUGGAACUGUAUGGCUGGAGUGCAGGAGAGGCAGGCGGAAUUCCUAGUGUAGCGGUGAAAUGCGUAGAUAUUAGGAGGAACACCAGUGGCGAAGGCGGCCUGCUGGACUGUAACUGACGUUGAGGCUCGAAAGCGUGGGGAGCAAACAGG
Molecule: ribosomal RNA, 406 nt
Filed under: uncultured bacterium
Lineage: Bacteria
Description: bacterial SSU rRNA
Rfam family: Bacterial small subunit ribosomal RNA
Source: RNAcentral